GACGAACGCUGGCGGCGUGCUUAACACAUGCAAGUCGAACGGUGAAGCGCUUGCCUUUUUGGUGGGUGUGGAUGAGUGGCGAACGGGUGAGUAACACGUGAGUAACCUGCCCUCUUCUUCUGGAUAACCUCAUGAAAGUGGGGCUAAUACGGGGUAUUCCGGGUCUGUCGCAUGGCGGGUUUGGGAAAGAUUGCGCCUUUGGGUGUUUUCGGUGGGGGAUGGGCUCGCGGCCUAUCAGCUGGUUGGUGGGGUGAUGGCCUACCAAGGCGGUGACGGGUAGCCGGCCUGAGAGGGUGGACGGCCAGACUGGGACUGAGACACGGCCCAGACUCCUGCGGGAGGCAGCAGUGGGGAAUAUUGCACAAUGGGCGCAAGCCUGAUGCAGCGACGCCGCGUGAGGGAUGGAGGCCUUCGGGUUGUGAACCUCUUUCGCCAGUGAAGCAGGCCUGCUCCUGUGUGGGUGGGUUGACGGUAGCUGGAUAAGAAGCGCCGGCUAACUACGUG
This 504-nucleotide ribosomal RNA is filed under the name uncultured bacterium. Its description in RNAcentral is "partial 16S ribosomal RNA". It matches the Rfam family "Bacterial small subunit ribosomal RNA", at positions 28 to 507 of the family's 1533-position model. The record is from RNAcentral.